GUCCUCUGUGCCUUCGUAGGGAAAAGCGACUCUUUCAAUUCAAGUUGCGCCACCACCAGGGUUUUCCCUUCUCCUUCGGCGGGAGGAGGUUUUGCUCCUGGGAUGUGGUGAGGACUAAGCACUGAGCUCGGCACCUUCCACAUGGCAGCGUCCGGAAGCCACCUGCCUGGUCUUCACAGCGAAAGGGAAGAAUUUCAGCUACAACCAGAGAGUCACCCUUCCAUACUUGGCUGGAGAGUAAAGUAGAGGCAACUGGCCAGAAUUAAAGAAGCAGAGACAAAGCAACCCGAAUAUUCAUCAAUGGAUGACUAAGUAAAU
Molecule: long non-coding RNA, 318 nt
Filed under: Sus scrofa (pig)
Lineage: Eukaryota; Metazoa; Chordata; Mammalia; Artiodactyla; Suidae
Description: lncRNA (ENSSSCG00005031855.1)
Source: RNAcentral